Drosophila miranda is the source of this 343-nucleotide long non-coding RNA. RefSeq lists it as uncharacterized. The transcript has 2 exons. NCBI's taxonomy places the organism in Eukaryota, Metazoa, Arthropoda, Insecta, Diptera, Drosophilidae. The record is from RefSeq and is a predicted model, not a curated record.
UUUUGCACAAAAUGUCAUUCGGGUUUUGGCGAGCUUUGCUUGCAGCCACAGGUCUACGUGACGUAUGGAGAAUACACAACACUUUAUAGCGCUGAUUCAUGCCGAUCCCCAGUCGCAUCCAAAUCUAAAGCAGAUGGAGAUACAGAUAAAGAAGUGCCAAAAAAUCACGAGUGACGCUAGAUCAGGGGAUUACCUAAGGAAUAUCGAACGAAUAUCUUGAACGGGAUGGCUCUUAGAGGUUUUGGAGCAAGGGAAAAAUACCCAAGGAGAAAGAAUUUAGUGGAAAAUCUACGCAUACCAAAGUUAAAUUAAAUUAAACAGAUUUCAAUCAUCCGAAACAUGA